GGUCGUGUAGCUGAAGAAGGAUAUAGCACUACUGUGGUUUAUCUGCGAUUACUCACAGUAGAGGUUGCAAGUUCGAGUCUUGCCACGAUCU
Molecule: transfer RNA, 91 nt
Filed under: Bacillus thuringiensis
Lineage: Bacteria; Bacillati; Bacillota; Bacilli; Caryophanales; Bacillaceae
Description: tRNA-OTHER
Rfam family: tRNA
About the family: Transfer RNA (tRNA) molecules are approximately 80 nucleotides in length. Their secondary structure includes four short double-helical elements and three loops (D, anti-codon, and T loops).
Source: RNAcentral